GGGCGGGUUCCCGAGUGGCCAAAGGGAGCAGACUGUAAAUCUGCCAGCACAGCUUUCGAAGGUUCGAAUCCUUCCCCUCCCA
RNAcentral lists this transfer RNA (82 nucleotides) under Clostridiales bacterium. Its description in RNAcentral is "tRNA-Tyr". It matches the Rfam family "tRNA". From Rfam's summary of the family: Transfer RNA (tRNA) molecules are approximately 80 nucleotides in length. Their secondary structure includes four short double-helical elements and three loops (D, anti-codon, and T loops). Further hydrogen bonds mediate the characteristic L-shaped molecular structure. tRNAs have two regions of fundamental functional importance: the anti-codon, which is responsible for specific mRNA codon recognition, and the 3' end, to which the tRNAs corresponding amino acid is attached (by aminoacyl-tRNA synthetases). tRNAs cope with the degeneracy of the genetic code in two manners: having more than one tRNA (with a specific anti-codon) for a particular amino acid; and 'wobble' base-pairing, i.e. permitting non-standard base-pairing at the 3rd anti-codon position. Lineage: Bacteria; Bacillati; Bacillota; Clostridia; Eubacteriales. The record is from RNAcentral.